CCUACGGGAGGCAGCAGUGAGGAAUAUUGGUCAAUGGGCGGGAGCCUGAACCAGCCAAGCCGCGUGAGGGAAGAAGGUACAGCGUAUCGUAAACCUCUUUUGUCAGGGAACAAAGGCGGGGACUAGUCCCCGGAUGAGGGUACCUGAAGAAAAAGCAUCGGCUAACUCCGUGCCAGCAACCGCGGUAAUACGGAGGAUGCGAGCGUUAUCCGGAUUUAUUGGGUUUAAAGGGUGCGCAGGCGGCCUGUUAAGUCAGCGGGAAAAGCCCGGGGCUCAACCCCGGCGAGCCGUUGAAACUGGCGGGCUGGAGUUGGAGAGAAGUACGCGGAAUGCGCGGUGUAGCGGUGAAAUGCUUAGAUAUCGCGCAGAACCCCGAUUGCGAAGGCAGCGUACCGGCUCCACACUGACGCUGAGGCACGAAAGCGUGGGUAUCGAACAGGAUUAGAUACCCGAGUAGUC
Molecule: ribosomal RNA, 459 nt
Filed under: uncultured bacterium
Lineage: Bacteria
Description: partial 16S ribosomal RNA
Rfam family: Bacterial small subunit ribosomal RNA
Source: RNAcentral